Molecule: long non-coding RNA, 777 nt
Organism: Pipra filicauda (Wire-tailed manakin)
Lineage: Eukaryota; Metazoa; Chordata; Aves; Passeriformes; Pipridae
Exons: 2
Source: RefSeq, a predicted model, not a curated record
UGGCACGGGCAGGGCGGUGCUGCCGGCCGGGAGUGUCCCGCCGUGAGGGGAGCGGCUCCUUGGCCACGGUGGCCGACCCUCCGGUGACAGCCCUCCCUCCACGGGCAAGCGCCAGUGAGACUCCCCCGCCCCGUGCCGGGUGCGGGCAGCGCUGAGGACCCCGUUGAUCUCCCUGGCACAGACAGGGGUGUUGGAGCUCCUCAGUUCGGUAUCGGACUCAAACAGGGCGCUCUGAAGCAGCGGCUCCUUCCAGAGCAGCACAUCCAGCACCGUCAUCAGCUUCUGCCUUCGAGUAUUUCUCCGUCCACCGCUUUCCUAAAGGAAAAAAAGCAUAGUUAGUACCUUGCUUUUGCUAGGUUGGACUGAGCUUUUGUAGUGAAGACAAGGUCUUACAGAAGAAAGCCAGGUUUCUAAUGGGCCUUUGGUGUGUAGAGAGUUCAUUUUCAGCCGGGUACCCAAGAAUGCUCUCUUAAAUAGCUACUUUUAUGUAUAUCCACUGUAGAGGAAUUAAGUUGCUGAACAUUACUUUUAUUCCAGUGCUUCAGGCAAUCAGAGAUGCUGGGCUCAAGCCCAAACCUUGAACUUUAUUUUAUAUUCUAAAGAAAAUUAGUAUGAAAGACAGGUUUGAUGUAUUUGCUGGAGCUGAUACCAUUAAGAAGUGAUGCAAGGCUCUUUUACUGCUGUAUGAAUGAGUACUGCCACAAAUAAUGACCAACAGUGCAAGUGUCAUAACUUAUCCUGUACACACAUAUUGAAGACAUUGUUGUCACCAACUCA